This is a long non-coding RNA of Polypterus senegalus (gray bichir), 391 nucleotides long. RefSeq lists it as uncharacterized. The record is from RefSeq and is a predicted model, not a curated record. Lineage: Eukaryota; Metazoa; Chordata; Cladistia; Polypteriformes; Polypteridae. The transcript is spliced from 3 exons.
GGGAAUUCUAUUGCUUCAGCGACACUUGUUAACGUGUCAACUUCUAGUCGUACCCAAAAAGUUACAGUAGAGAAAGAAUGUGAACCAUCUGCUGUUGACAGCUACUAAAUACAGGUCAGGCGAUACAAAACACUACAGGACCUUUACAAGAAACCAAAGCCAAAUAAAUUUGCAGUUACCCAGCUCCUUGAUCAUGAAUUUAAUGCACAGAGGUCAUUUAUAGAUUAUAUGGGAGGCUUACCCAUGCUUUAAAGAACUGGAUCAUGUAAUGGAUCAAAUGUGUUGUAUUCUUCCUUGGAAUAAUCUUAACUACAUCACAGAAGUUAAGAGCAGAUGGACCAAUUUUUAUGGAAAAGCACAGCUGUAUGGAGUAAUGAGGAAGAUCCUGAAG